UCAUACUUUUAAAGAUGAACCACAUGCAAUAAGUUAAGCUGUUUUAGAUCCUUGAUCCAAUAGAACAUUCAUCACACGAUUGGUGAACAUGUGUGUGUUUGUUUUAAUUAUGAAUCGGUACGAAAUGUACCAAGGAAAAGAUAAUACCGUCACUCCUUUAAAUGAGAAACAUUGAUUUUCUUUUACAAGUGUGGAGAUUUAAUCAAUAAU
Molecule: unclassified non-coding RNA, 210 nt
Filed under: Arceuthobium pusillum
Lineage: Eukaryota; Viridiplantae; Streptophyta; Magnoliopsida; Santalales; Viscaceae
Source: RNAcentral